This 1460-nucleotide ribosomal RNA is filed under the name uncultured organism. RNAcentral's name for it is "16S ribosomal RNA". It matches the Rfam family "Bacterial small subunit ribosomal RNA". The record is from RNAcentral.
GGCGGCAGGCCUAACACAUGCAAGUCGAACGGUAACAGGAAUCAGCUUGCUGAUUCGCUGACGAGUGGCGGACGGGUGAGUAAUGUCUGGGAAACUGCCUGAUGGAGGGGGAUAACUACUGGAAACGGUAGCUAAUACCGCAUAACGUCGCAAGACCAAAGAGGGGGACCUUCGGGCCUCUUGCCAUCGGAUGUGCCCAGAUGGGAUUAGCUAGUAGGUGGGGUAAAGGCUCACCUAGGCGACGAUCCCUAGCUGGUCUGAGAGGAUGACCAGCCACACUGGAACUGAGACACGGUCCAGACUCCUACGGGAGGCAGCAGUGGGGAAUAUUGCACAAUGGGCGCAAGCCUGAUGCAGCCAUGCCGCGUGUAUGAAGAAGGCCUUCGGGUUGUAAAGUACUUUCAGCGGGGAGGAAGGGAGUAAAGUUAAUACCUUUGCUCAUUGACGUUACCCGCAGAAGAAGCACCGGCUAACUCCGUGCCAGCAGCCGCGGUAAUACGGAGGGUGCAAGCGUUAAUCGGAAUUACUGGGCGUAAAGCGCACGCAGGCGGUUUGUUAAGUCAGAUGUGAAAUCCCCGGGCUCAACCUGGGAACUGCAUCUGAUACUGGCAAGCUUGAGUCUCGUAGAGGGGGGUAGAAUUCCAGGUGUAGCGGUGAAAUGCGUAGAGAUCUGGAGGAAUACCGGUGGCGAAGGCGGCCCCCUGGACGAAGACUGACGCUCAGGUGCGAAAGCGUGGGGAGCAAACAGGAUUAGAUACCCCUGGUAGUCCACGCCGUAAACGAUGUCGACUUGGAGGUUGUGCCCUUGAGGCGUGGCUUCCGGAGCUAACGCGUUAAGUCGACCGCCUGGGGAGUACGGCCGCAAGGUUAGAACUCAAAUGAAUUGACGGGGGCCCGCACAAGCGGUGGAGCAUGUGGUUUAAUUCGAUGCAACGCGAAGAACCUUACCUGGUCUUGACAUCCACGGAAGUUUUCAGAGAUGAGAAUGUGCCUUCGGGAACCGUGAGACAGGUGCUGCAUGGCUGUCGUCAGCUCGUGUUGUGAAAUGUUGGGUUAAGUCCCGCAACGAGCGCAACCCUUAUCCUUUGUUGCCAGCGGUCCGGCCGGGAACUCAAAGGAGACUGCCAGUGAUAAACUGGAGGAAGGUGGGGGUGACGUCAAGUCAUCAUGGCCCUUACGACCAGGGCUACACACGUGCUACAAUGGCGCAUACAAAGAGAAGCGACCUCGCGAGAGCAAGCGGACCUCAUAAAGUGCGUCGUAGUCCGGAUUGGAGUCUGCAACUCGACUCCAUGAAGUCGGAAUCGCUAGUAAUCGUGGAUCAGAAUGCCACGGUGAAUACGUUCCCGGGCCUUGUACACACCGCCCGUCACACCAUGGGAGUGGGUUGCAAAAGAAGUAGGUAGCUUAACCUUCGGGAGGGCGCUUACCACUUUGUGAUUCAUGACUGGGGUGAAGUC